CAGCAGCCUCGGGAAUACAGAGGGUGCGAGCGUUAAUCGGAUUUACUGGGCGUAAAGCGUGCGUAGGCGGCUUCUUAAGUCGGAUGUGAAAUCCCUGAGCUUAACUUAGGAAUUGCAUUCGAUACUGGGAAGCUAGAGUAUGGGAGAGGAUGGUAGAAUUCCAGGUGUAGCGGUGAAAUGCGUAGAGAUCUGGAGGAAUACCGAUGGCGAAGGCAGCCAUCUGGCCUAAUACUGACGCUGAGGUACGAAAGCAUGGGGAGCAAACAGGAUUAGAUACCCCAGUAGUCCCUGUCUCUUAUAC
RNAcentral lists this ribosomal RNA (301 nucleotides) under uncultured bacterium. RNAcentral describes it as "partial 16S ribosomal RNA". It matches the Rfam family "Bacterial small subunit ribosomal RNA", at positions 509 to 807 of the family's 1533-position model. The record is from RNAcentral.